UUGAACGCUGGCGGCAGGCCUAACACAUGCAAGUCGAGCGGCAGCGCGGGGCAACCUGGCGGCGAGCGGCGGACGGGUGAGUAACGCGUAGGAAUCUACCCAGUAGCGGGGGAUAGCCCGGGGAAACUCGGAUUAAUACCGCAUACGCCCUAAGGGGGAAAGCAGGGGAUCUUCGGACCUUGCACUAUUGGCAGAGCCUGCGUUGGAUUAGCUAGUUGGUAGGGUAAAGGCCUACCAAGGCAACGAUCCAUAACUGGUCUGAGAGGAUGAUCAGUCACACCGGAACUGAGACACGGUCCGGACUCCUACGGGAGGCAGCAGUGGGGAAUAUUGGACAAUGGGGGCAACCCUGAUCCAGCCAUGCCGCGUGUGUGAAGAAGGCCUUCGGGUUGUAGAGCACUUUAAGUGGGGAGAAAGGUUCGGCAGUUAAUACCUGCCGGAAGUGAUGUUACCCACAGAAUAAGCACCGGCUAACUCUGUGCCAGCCGCCGCGGUAA
This 497-nucleotide ribosomal RNA is filed under the name uncultured bacterium. Its description in RNAcentral is "partial 16S ribosomal RNA". It matches the Rfam family "Bacterial small subunit ribosomal RNA", at positions 29 to 523 of the family's 1533-position model. The record is from RNAcentral.